GAUGAACGCUGGCGGCGUGCUUAACACAUGCAAGUCGAACGGAAAGGCCGAAGCUUGCUUCGGUACUCGAGUGGCGAACGGGUGAGUAACACGUGGGUGAUCUGCCCUGUACUUCGGGAUAAGCUUGGGAAACUGGGUCUAAUACCGGAUAUGACGAUCUCUUGGAUGGGGUUGUGGAAAGCUUUUGCGGUAUGGGAUGAGCUCGCGGCCUAUCAGCUUGUUGGUGGGGUAAUGGCCUACCAAGGCGUCGACGGGUAGCCGGCCUGAGAGGGUGUACGGCCACAUUGGGACUGGGAUACGGCCCAGACUCCUACGGGAGGCAGCAGUGGGGAAUAUUGCACAAUGGGCGCAAGCCUGAUGCAGCGACGCCGCGUGGGGGAUGACGGCCUUCGGGUUGUAAACUCCUUUCGCAAUCGACGAAGCCUUUUGGUGACGGUAGGUUGAGAAGAAGCACCGGCUAACUACGUG
Molecule: ribosomal RNA, 468 nt
Filed under: uncultured bacterium
Lineage: Bacteria
Description: partial 16S ribosomal RNA
Rfam family: Bacterial small subunit ribosomal RNA
Source: RNAcentral